This 1013-nucleotide long non-coding RNA is filed under the name Sinocyclocheilus anshuiensis. Its description in RNAcentral is "lncRNA (ENSSANG00000029407.1)". Lineage: Eukaryota; Metazoa; Chordata; Actinopteri; Cypriniformes; Cyprinidae. The record is from RNAcentral.
CAGUUGUUAAUUUAAUACGGACUCAGCAUUUACUAAUACAUUAUUAAAUCCAAAAGCUGUAUCUCUUCGUAUCCCUUAUGCACAGUUGUAUUAACUACCGUUAAAAAAAGAAUGAAUAGAGCACGUUAUGUAUUGCCAAAAUCCCUUUAAGGGCUUUUUUUUUUUAUUCUAUAGUCUUUGGUAUUGCUCAUUGUCAGCUAGUUAGUUAACGGAUCUUUAUUGUAAAGUGUUACCUUUCUUAUAAUUAUUAUUGAUGGCCAUUGUUUUAAACUUUGCGUUGGGAUAUAGCUAAUGCUCACACGCUGAACAUUUGUUGUGCAAGGGUAUACAUGUAAAUUAAGAUUUACAUAAAGUGCAACAUUGUCAUUAUCUUGUUCACAUACUUUCAUUGUGGAAUUACGCAGGUCAAACAUUUAGUUAGGAAAUCAAUAAUAGAGUUGUUACACAUAAUUAGAUACAUGACACAGACAUUACUUGUAAUUAAUCUAAUAUAAUCUAAUAGUCACUGAGUGAAACAGUUCUCUCCUCUUCAUGUUUUCAUUAACAACAAACAAAUGCAUCCACAAUGUACAAACAAGAAUGUGAGAGGAAUUUAUACAUUUAUGCAGAGGACAGAUUUGUGAAAUGAAACGGAUGUCAGUUAAAUACUUCUAGUAAAAACUACACUGUUUUUGAGACUAGGGUCCCUUGUGUAUUACUCUAAAAAAGAAAAAAAAAAAUUAAACUGUGAUAUUUACUGGCAGUAAACGCAGCGAUACUUCCAUAUUUUUAUAAACCAAAUAUACACGGACUAACAGAAGAUUUUCUUGUCAGUAUACAAUACCCGUUUCACAGAUGACUAUUAGAAAUAAUGUCCUCCCAACAACAGCACAUCACGUAAACAAAAAAAAAUGGUUUUGAAACAUAUAAACCGUAGGAUUAAAAACUUUUAAAUAUUAUUUUAAGGAUUUUUGGCAUUAAAAUCAUGUAAAAAUGAUUCCCUUUCCUGAAGUAAAAAUGUGCAUUCAACCAUU